GUUGUUUUUAUCUUGGUUAAUGCCUUUUCACUCCCAUUAACUGAGAAACUCCCCUUUCAGGAGUGCACAUCAGAAUUUGAAAAGCCGUAUUUGUAGAAGACAUCGAUGCGAAUUGUUUCUUGUUUUCUUCCUUCCCCCGCCCUCAGUAGCAUGUCAGUUCUAUGAGGAUAGAAUCCAUUUUAAGUCACCCUUACGUCCCUAAUACCUAGACAGUGUUUGGCACAGAGUUCGUGCUUAAUAAACAAUUAUUGAAGAAAGAAUUUAGAGAUUAACUAACCUCCGUUCCCUAAGGUCUGUGUCUUCACUCUGGACUGAGUAGCCAGACUCUCAGGCUGGGCUUUGGCCAUUGUUUAUGUCACAAGGAUGAGGUUUGUGGGUGUCGAAGGAAGACCCCAUUCAGAGCUAAUUUCUUGGUUCAGCUUUGCAAAUGCAGGGAGGGUGAUCAGAAAAGUCUGGGAGUGUUGGUGGACCCAUAGGCUUGUAAAGUGUUGGCCAUAUUAUGCCUCAAACCCUAAGCUCUUCAGUCAAGAUGGAAUUUGUGUCAUAGUCUCAGUGUGACAAUGCUGUUCAGUCAAUGUGAACAGCAAGCAGUGAAAAACAGACGCCAGACUACUAAAAUCCGUUACCUCUGGAGGAGAUGACAGGAGCAGGACAAGCAGAAACAAAGUUGCAAACGUUUUCAUGGGGCUCAUCCCUUCCCACUAGAAUGUAAGCUCUACACAGCAGAGAUUUCGGCCUCUUUGGUUUACUGAUAUGUCGCAGAGACGAGAAAAUUUCCUGCCACAUAGUAGCCCAUAAGAAGCUCAAAAGACAGGCACUUACCCAGGACAGAGCAACUGGCUUGGGGAUUUCCUGCACAGUCCUUGGAGAAGCGUCACUGUUGACUUCGGGUUUGCAAAGCAGCACUCUCUCCCUGGUUUCCAGAAC
Molecule: long non-coding RNA, 927 nt
Filed under: Equus asinus (donkey)
Lineage: Eukaryota; Metazoa; Chordata; Mammalia; Perissodactyla; Equidae
Description: lncRNA (ENSEASG00005025182.1)
Source: RNAcentral